This 380-nucleotide unclassified non-coding RNA is filed under the name soil metagenome. RNAcentral describes it as "partial contains 5.8S ribosomal RNA, internal transcribed spacer 2, and large subunit ribosomal RNA". The stretch from base 1 to 120 matches the Rfam family "5.8S ribosomal RNA", at positions 35 to 154 of the family's 154-position model. The record is from RNAcentral.
GAUGAAGAACGCAGCGAAAUGCGAUAAGUAAUGUGAAUUGCAGAAUUCAGUGAAUCAUCGAAUCUUUGAACGCACCUUGCACCCUUUGGCAUUCUGAAGGGUAUGCUCGUUUGAGUGUCAUUGUACUCUCACACUCCCGAUCUUUGCAUUGGGAGCAGUGGACUUGGGUUUGCUGCUUCACCGUCGCUUACCUCAAAUAGGUUAGUGCAACUCUUGGUUGGACAUAGUACGGUGUGAUAAGUGUUCUUCGCCGGUGCCUCGCAAAGAGGGUGGCCGAUCGGGAUGUUGUGCUCCAAACCGUCUUCGGACAAUCUCUGACGACUUGACCUCAAAUCGAGUAAGACUACCCGCUGAACUUAAGCAUAUCAAUAAGCGGAGGA